GGAUAACCUACCCUUAGGACUGGGAUAACCCUGGGAAACUGGGGAUAAUACUAGAUAGGCAAUUUUUCCUGGAAUGGUUUUUUGUUUAAAUGUUUUUUCGCCUAAGGAUGGGUCUGCGGCCGAUUAGGUAGUUGGUUAGGUAACGGCUUACCAAGCCAUUGAUCGGUACGGGUUGUGAGAGCAAGAGCCCGGAGAUGGAACCUGAGACAAGGUUCCAGGCCCUACGGGGUGCAGCAGGCGCGAAACCUCCGCAAUGUGAGAAAUCGCGACGGGGGGAUCCCAAGUGCCAUUCUUAACGGGAUGGCUUUUCAUUAGUGUAAAGAGCUUUUGGAAUAAGGGCUGGGCAAGACCGGUGCCAGCCGCCGCGGUAACACCGGCAGCUCUAGUGGUAGCAGUUUUUAUUGGGCCUAAAGCGUCCGUAGCCGGUUUAAUAAGUCUCUGGUGAAAUCCUGUAGCUUAACUGUGGGAAUUGCUGGAGAUACUAUUAGACUUGAGACCGGGAGAGGUUAGAGGUACUCCCAGGGUAGAGGUGAAAUUCUGUAAUCCUGGGAGGACCGCCUGUUGCGAAGGCGUCUAACUGGAACGGUUCUGACGGUGAGGGACGAAAGUUAGGGGCGCGAACCGGAUUAGAUACCCGGGUAGUCCUAACUGUAAACGAUGCGGACUUGGUGUUGGGGGUGGCUUUGAGCUGCUCCAGUGCCGAAAGGGAAGCUGUUAAGUCCGCCGCCUGGGAAG
RNAcentral lists this ribosomal RNA (735 nucleotides) under uncultured archaeon. RNAcentral's name for it is "bacterial SSU rRNA". It matches the Rfam family "Archaeal small subunit ribosomal RNA", at positions 102 to 835 of the family's 1478-position model. The record is from RNAcentral.